GACGAACGCUGGCGGCGUGCCUAACACAUGCAAGUCGAACGGAGAUAUGCGAACGAGGCCUUCGGGCGGAGAUUGCAUAUUUUAGUGGCGGACGGGCGAGUAACGCGUGAGCAACCUGCCCUUCAGAGGGGGAUAACGGCUGGAAACGGCCGCUAAUACCGCAUGACAUAUACACAAGGCAUCUUGAGUAUAUCAAAGGAGGAAUCCGCUGAAGGAUGGGCUCGCGUCCGAUUAGCUGGUUGGUGAGGUAACGGCUCACCAAGGCGACGAUCGGUAGCCGAACUGAGAGGUUGAUCGGCCGCAUUGGGACUGAGACACGGCCCAGACUCCUACGGGAGGCAGCAGUGGGGGAUAUUGCACAAUGGAGGAAACUCUGAUGCAGCGACGCCGCGUGGGGAAGAAGGUCUUCGGAUUGUAAAACCUCAGUAGUCAGGGAAGAAGCAAGUGACGGUACCUGAAGAGUAAGCUCCGGCUAACUACGUGCC
This 485-nucleotide ribosomal RNA is filed under the name uncultured bacterium. Its description in RNAcentral is "bacterial SSU rRNA". It matches the Rfam family "Bacterial small subunit ribosomal RNA", at positions 28 to 509 of the family's 1533-position model. The record is from RNAcentral.